GUGGAUUAGAUACCCGGGUAGUCCUAGCUGUAAACGAUGGGCACUGGGUAGGGGGCUCGCCGAUGGGCUCUCUGCCGCAGGGAAACCGUGAAGUGCCCCGCCUGGGGAGUAUGGUCGCAAGGCUGAAACUCAAAGGAAUUGACGGGGGCUCACACAAGCGGUGGAGCAUGUGGCUCAAUUCGAGGCUACGCGAAGAACCUUAUCCUGGGCUUGACAUGCACGGAUUAGCCGGCGGAAACGUCGGUGACGCCGCAAGGUGGAACGUGCACAGGUGCUGCACGGUUGUCGUCAACU
RNAcentral lists this ribosomal RNA (294 nucleotides) under uncultured bacterium. RNAcentral's name for it is "partial 16S ribosomal RNA". It matches the Rfam family "Bacterial small subunit ribosomal RNA", at positions 773 to 1060 of the family's 1533-position model. The record is from RNAcentral.